GAACCUGCCCAGUGAAUAAUUUUAACGGCCGCGGUACCCUGACUGUGCAAAGGUAGCAUAAUCAUUUGCCUUAUAAUUGAAGGCUGGCAUGAAUGGUCUAACGAGAGCAACACUGUCUCCUCUUUAUUAUCUAAAAAUUAACCUAUAGGUGAAGAGGCCUAUAUAAAAUUGAAGGACAAGAAGACCCUGUCGAGCUUAAAAGAAAGUAAGAAUUAGUUAUCAAAAGAAAUCAAUAAACUAUAUAUAUAGCUUUUUAGUUGGGGCGACUAGGGAACAAAUAAAGCUUCUUUUAUUUCUAUAAAUUUAUAAAUUUAGAUCCAGCAAAGCUGAUUAGAAAAAUUAGUUACCGCAGGGAUAACAGCAUAAUCUCUCUUAAGAGACCUAAUCGAAAGGGGGGGUUGUGACCUCGAUGUUGGACUAGAAUAUCCUGAGGAUGCAGACGUCUUUAAGGGUUG
Molecule: ribosomal RNA, 455 nt
Filed under: Melanoides cf. liebrechtsi BVB-2015
Lineage: Eukaryota; Metazoa; Mollusca; Gastropoda; Thiaridae
Description: partial 16S ribosomal RNA
Rfam family: Bacterial large subunit ribosomal RNA
Source: RNAcentral